AGAUGAACCCCUAACCAUACACUUUGUAAAAAGUAGCCUCUGUUCCUGAGCAGAGUCUAGAUUCCCUUAGCAGAGGCUGAAGCCAGGAAAGAUUCUCACUUUCAUUUACAGUGGGGCAUUUCCUGAUUCUCUCUUUUUUUUUUCCCCUUCCUCUUAAGCAUACCACAAACUAUGUGGCAAUAGUCAGUGUAGGGACUCAGAGCUCUCACUCACUGUGAAUUACAGAUUUCUCGCAGGCUCUCCGUGCUUUGCAGAGAAAGCGAGGCCAAGGAGAGGGCCAUGCACGAGAGAGAGGGCUGGUAGACACACCUGCAGCUAAUACCCCCGCACUCCCAACCCUGCCUCAGCAACCUCCCUGGGCCGGGCUGCAUUCUGACCUGGUGGUGUUUCCUCCCUCAGGAACUUUCGUGAAGGUCCCUUCACUGCUUUCACCAGAGUGUGAGCUCCUCUGUGCCAUCACAGUGGACGAUACUUUUGUACACAUGGUGAGGAGGGUGAAGCCCGUCGGCCACGCAGCCGGGACGCCCGGGUUCAAAUCUCCUGUGACUUGAGGUAAGUAAAUUAAAUUAAUCUCUUUCCACUUUUGUAAAUGGGAACAAUAACAUGGCCGUACCUGAUGGGAACGUCGUAAUCAGGAUCCCAAGAAUUCAACUGCGCAAAACUCGGAGUCUCAUUAUGGUGACAGUACAGCAAAGAGGAGGCGCUUGGGCCAAUUGUGUUAUGUCUUUCAGUUAUUAUGAGGUGUUAUAGUAGGAUUCCUGUGGAUUGUGUGUAUAUAUGUACAUAGAGUGUGUAUGUAUACACACACACAUAUACACUCUGUGUACAUAUAUACACGUGUGUACAAUAUAUUAAAAUAUUAAUGUAUGUAAAAUGUUUAUCACAGUAAAUGUGCAAGAGAAGUGGCUAAUUAGUAGUAGUCACACCAGCGCUCCCCAGCUGGGCUAAGUGUGGGCUCCCCGAGAGGGAUUAGUGUGCCGGCUGGGAGCGACAGGUCCGACGCUGGCUGGGCUGCUGAGCCCACACUCCUCGAGGCCAGGGAUCCUGCAGGCCUGACACCCCAGUGGCUUCCAGGACUGGUUCUGCUCCUUCCAAAGGUAGAGUCUAGAGAUCCUGGGAAAAAGCUCUGACUUGUCAUGACCUCUGGGCAGGCGGCAAAGAGAUUUCUUCAAGUUCCCAAGAGAGGAGGAGGAGGAUAAUGGUGUCAGUUAGAAGCCACUCUUCCCUUUUCUGUGAGAAAUGCUCAGAAUCCUGUGCGUGAUGGUAUCCCAAGCAUUUACCCCCCUGGUGGCAUCGAUCACAAGAGAAAAGAUUGGCUGCUUCUUGCCAACAGAGGAAAGCAGUGUCAGAGCUGAGCCGGCUCCUACUUCUCCAGCCCAGGUAAAGACCCCCCGGCCCUCCCCCGCUUCCCAAGCAGGGCCGGCAGGGCUGCCAGCCUCCACUCCCCACCUGUCUCUGUGACCAGCUGCCUCAGGCCAUCUGCAGCUGCCCCCACCCCAGGGGGCAGCUCAAAUAGGAGCCUGGGGCCCACUUACAAGACAAGGGCUGGGAAGGGGUUUCCUGCUGCAGUCUGGGCACAGCUCCAUUCGGCAUCUUACAAGCACAGAUAUCAGAGUGGGAGGGGAACCCUGAAAGCCUCCCGUUCACAGACGAAGCACUAAGGCCUGGAGAGGUGUCAGCCAUGUCUCCCUGGCUGAUUCUUCUCUAUCCCUUUUUCUGGUUCCUUCUCACCUCCUGACCUCUGAUUGUUGGUGUGCCCCAGAGCUCAGAGCUGGGACCCUCUCGCACCCUCUGGGGGACCUCACCCAGGCCUGCAGCUUUCUGUACCCUAUAAAUGUACCUGCUGACAACUCUCAAAUGUACACCUCCAGUUCAGACUCUCUCCUGACCUCCAGACUCACAUCCAACUGCCCACUCAACUCCUCCGCUGGGAUGUCUAAUAGGCAUCUCUCUCCUCAUGGGCGUAAAACGGAGUUCCUGGUUUUUCCUCCUCCCAUUGUCUUCUCCAGUUGAGGUCAUGGCAAUUCCAUCAUUGCCCAAGCCAGAAACCUUGGAGUCACUCUUGGCUUCCGUUUCUCUCAUGUCGUCCCCAGUCCAUCAGCCUCCCCUUCCACAUACACACAGAUCCCGACCCGUCCUCUCUUUCUCCGCCCUCACGCUAUUCCAAGCCACCGUCACCCUUGCCUGGUUUGCAGGUUUCCUUAAUAGUGUCCCAGCCUCCACCCGUGCCCCGCAGUUUGUUAGGAACUGUCCCAGCAGCCAGGCUAUCCUGUGAAGAAGGAGGUCAGCUGAGGUCUCCCCUCAGCUCAACCCAUGGCACCCCGUCCCAGCCGGAGCAGUGGCCCAUCUUACCUUUCCAUCUGUUCGCCUGCACUCCCUGCUCUCUCCACUCCAGACCCAGUGGCCUCAAAGCCGCCAGGUGUGCUCCCACCUUGAGGCCUUGGUAUUUGCAGCCCGUCUGUUGGGACAGCUCCCCGCAGGUUUCUGCCUGCGCACUGCCUCUCCUCCCGGGCACAGCCUCAUUCCUGUCUUCAGGCAAAUACCACCUGUUCAGUAAGGUCUUCCCCAACCUCCUUAAUUAAAAUUGCACCCCCUCCAAGCCUGCCUCCCCUUUUUACUCUCUUCCUCUCCAUGACACUACCACCAUCAAACACAUGACAUUUUUGCUUCAUAAGUGUUUGUUAAAUGAAUGAGUGAACAGUGAUCAGUGUCAGCUUUCUCCAUGCGUACCGUUGCACUUAGCUGUGAAUGAAGAGCAAGAAAACACCCUGGAGCAUCAAGUUCAAUUCUACCUUCAGGAGAAGGACACUGAGAUGCGGCAGGGAGGAGGAUAUCCCAAAACAUCAUAGCACAUUGACUUGAGAGCUGAGGUUGGGAAUGGAUCCCCCUGUCUCCCGAACAAAGCCUGUGUGUCCUCUGGUCCCCCUGCCGCCCCCAGAAGUCACUCCAUUCUGACAGCAAUUUCCAAUCUCCUGAGCUGUAAAAUUAGAACAAGGAACCUACAAAAAACAAAGAAGUGAAGUGGGGUAGGGGUAUUUUUAGCCUCGUUGGUCUCUAAGUCCAUGCACGUGGCUAUAAAUAAGUAUUAAAUCAGGAAGCAAGCUGAAAGGUGGUCAGCUUUUCUGGGGGUGGCUGAGUGAGGCUGUUGCAACAUGGACAGUUUUGGGCCAGAGUGACCAAUUCCAAGAAAACUGGCCCUGUUGAGUCAUCUGGAAGCCACAUACCUCAUAUUGGCUGUUCAGAGAGAGUCUGAGGAAUUAGAUCCUCCUUUUUCUUCUCCUCCAUCAGCCAGAAGUACCAGUGAAACUCUAAAGCCCACCCAGCAUUUAAUGGUCAAAAUCUCCCCAGUGCUGGAUGGCUAUCUUUGGGGGCAGAUGGGGAUUUUGAGUAGUAACCUGGAGCCUCUGUGUCCCCUGUUGCCCAGAGACACUUCUUGGGCUCUGGUCCCUUUGUCCACUAGGAACUUUCUGAAACCUCAGGACCAGGCCUAAAAGAUGAGACCUGGAUGAGCAUGAAGCACUUCCUCAUGGUUAAACACUGUUCAUCACAUGUGAUCUCAUUUCAUACAGUGACUUACUAGGGACAUACUUUUAUAGUUGUCUCCAUUUCGUAGAUGGAAAAGCUGAUGCAAAGGGUGGGUAAGUGAUGUACCCAGGUCUCGCUUAAGUGGCAGACCCAAGCAGUCUGGCUCCACGGCCCAUGUCCUUAGCCAUCAGGCUAUGCUGCAAUGUCUGGGGGGCAGGAAACCUGGGUCAAAAUCCGAACUAUGUGUGGCUGUCAUUCAUUCAACAUUCAGUGAGUAUUACUGAGCAUUUACCAGUGGAGAGCAUCUCUCCGGCUCUGAGAUUCAUGGCUGGAUCCAGGGUUUGAUGCUGCAGAUCUUGGGCUGCCCAUCGAGCUAAGCGAUGAACGUGCAGUGAGCACAUGGGUUUCUGGUGGAAACUGAAUGAGGACAGGUCUGUUGCUCUCCUUGGGGCACUUGGAGGGAAGUAUUCUGAUUCAUGCUGUAGAAAUACGGACUGUGUCCCUCCGCAGGUCAGGAGAAGGACCAGGCACUAAAGCUGGGGCAGCUCCCUGCCCUCGUGUAGUUUACGGUGUAGUUGGGAGACACAGACAAUGACCACAAACAAAUAAAUGAGAUAAUUAAGAUGGUAUAAAGGCCCUAAGUAAAACAAAGUGAUGGAACUCUUACGGGUUGACCUGUGUUCCACCGAAAGUCACAUGUUGACCCAGAAUAUGACCUUAUUUGGAGAUAAGGUCUUUACUGAGGUAACUGAGUUAAAAUGAGACUAUUAGGUAGGCUCUAAUCUAACAUGACUGGUUUUCUGGGAAAAAAAA
Molecule: long non-coding RNA, 4338 nt
Filed under: Sus scrofa (pig)
Lineage: Eukaryota; Metazoa; Chordata; Mammalia; Artiodactyla; Suidae
Description: lncRNA (ENSSSCG00005012689.1)
Source: RNAcentral